GACGUCGAUAUUCGACGUCGUAAACACGAUAAUCUUUGAUGUUGAUGACGUCCAUAUUCGACGUCAUAAACACGAAAAACUUUGUUGUUUAUUACGUCGAUAUACGACGUCAUAAAUAGGAUCAACUUUGGUGUAUAUAACGUCGAUAUGCGACGUCAUAAACACGAUCAACAUUGAUGUUUAUAACGUCGAUAUUCGAAGUGACAAACACGAUCAACUUUGGUGUAUUAGACGUCGAUAUUCGACGUCAUAAACACGAUCAUCUUUGGUGUUUAUGACGUCGAUAUUCGACUUC
Molecule: microRNA precursor, 295 nt
Filed under: Paramuricea clavata
Lineage: Eukaryota; Metazoa; Cnidaria; Anthozoa; Malacalcyonacea; Plexauridae
Source: RNAcentral